UACGAGAGGUGGCAAGCGUUGUUCGGAAUUACUGGGCGUAAAGGGCGCGUAGGCGGCCUUAUAAGUCUCGUGUGAAAGCCCUCGGCUUAACUGAGGAUCUGCACGGGAUACUGUAGGGCUCGAGUUCGGGAGAGGAAAGCGGAAUUCCGGGUGUAGCGGUGAAAUGCGUAGAUAUCCGGAGGAACACCAGUGGCGAAGGCGGCUUUCUGGGUCCG
RNAcentral lists this ribosomal RNA (215 nucleotides) under uncultured bacterium. RNAcentral describes it as "partial 16S ribosomal RNA". It matches the Rfam family "Bacterial small subunit ribosomal RNA", at positions 524 to 736 of the family's 1533-position model. The record is from RNAcentral.